GAUACAUGGAAGCACACAAAUUAUGAGUAUCACAUUUUUUAGUGUUAGAUACUUCCCUAUUCCUCUCUUCUACAUUCUUCCCAAAAGCCUGUUUAAUAGCCGAAAUGCAGGUAAAAUACUAAGGUCUUGCCCUAUACAAUAACACUGGGCAAAUUAAUGUUGCUUGUGUUACUAUUCUGUUAACAUAUGGCUCUUUGGUAACCCUCCAGUUUAUAACAUUCAAAACUGGGAAGAACCUUUAGAAUCGCUUAAACUGGGUCUCUUUUUCCUAUCUGUAACGUGAUAGCUCAGAUUGUCUCUAAAGUCCUUCCCAGCAUUGAUAUUAAAAAGAUCUUCAGGGUAUUCCAAAAGCAACAGAUAAUAUAGGAACUUUUCCUCUAUUAUGGUGGAAAUAAUGUCAUUGCUCAUUGCAGGCUGGUAAAAAAGGAGUCUUCAUGGUUUGUGAAGCACUUUCUCAAAAGAGCUCUGUAAGAAACCAAGACUCCAGAAGACUUCUAAGAAAGCUAGCUGGGCCCCAGGCAAGGAAACUAGAUUGUGAAGGAGAUAAUAAAGGAGUUGGAUUGUAACACCUGGCUAUUCUUUUGGUGAUUACUGAAAAGAAGGCUGCUCCAAGGAUCUCCAGAAAAUCAAGCCGAACAUUUACACUUCUAAAAUAGAAUAAAAAGAGAAAGGCAUAGGAGGAGAAAGAAAGAUCAGAGCUGGAAGGGAUUGAGAUAGUUGCAUUCCUAUAUUAAACAAAUACGGAAAUUGAGGCUCAGAAAGAAGUAACUUACUUCUAGUCAUAUAGCUUGAUAUAAAAUAUUUUAUAAAAAGUAAAAUUUAUUUUAAAAUUA
This is a long non-coding RNA of Antechinus flavipes (yellow-footed antechinus), 833 nucleotides long. RefSeq lists it as uncharacterized. The record is from RefSeq and is a predicted model, not a curated record. Lineage: Eukaryota; Metazoa; Chordata; Mammalia; Dasyuromorphia; Dasyuridae. The transcript has 2 exons.